CUAAAGUGGGGGAUAACAUUUGGAAACAGAUGGUAAUACCGCAUAAAACCUAGCACCGCAUGGUGCAAGGUUGAAAGAUGGUUUCGGCUAUCACUGUAGGAUGGACCCGCGGCGCAUUAGUUAGUUGGUGAGGUAAAGGCUCACCAAGACCGUGAUGCAUAGCCGACCUGAGAGGGUAAUUGGCCACACUGGGAUUGAGACACGGCCCAGACUCCUACGGGAGGCAGCAGUAGGGAAUUUUCCACAAUGGACGAAAGUUUGAUGGAGCAACGCCGCGUGAGUGAAGAAGGUUUUCGGAUCGUAAAACUCUGUUGUUGGAGAAGAACGUAUUUGAUAGUAACUGAUCAGGUAGGGGCGGUAUCCAACCAGAAAGCCAGGGCUAAUUACGUGCCAGCAGCCGCGGUAAUACGUAGGUGGCAAGCGUUGUCCGGAUUUAUUGGGCGUAAAGCGAGCGCAGGCGGUUUCUUAAGUCUGAUGUGAAAGCCUUCGGCUCAACCGAAGAAGUGCAUCGGAAACUGGGAAACU
RNAcentral lists this ribosomal RNA (525 nucleotides) under Latilactobacillus curvatus. RNAcentral's name for it is "bacterial SSU rRNA". It matches the Rfam family "Bacterial small subunit ribosomal RNA", at positions 131 to 642 of the family's 1533-position model. Lineage: Bacteria; Bacillati; Bacillota; Bacilli; Lactobacillales; Lactobacillaceae. The record is from RNAcentral.